Molecule: long non-coding RNA, 678 nt
Organism: Antechinus flavipes (yellow-footed antechinus)
Lineage: Eukaryota; Metazoa; Chordata; Mammalia; Dasyuromorphia; Dasyuridae
Exons: 3
Source: RefSeq, a predicted model, not a curated record
AACAAAUCAGGUUGAUUUCCAGAGUUUGAAGAGUCAGAUGCUGUUGUCUUGGGCAUCUGAGCAGCUGAUGACCCUUGUUGCUGAGGAGGAAUCCUCUGUCUCUCAUUCCUCGGAGACAGAUUCUGCAGCCUCUACCUGAAACAGACUUCCUUAAGGAGCAAAGAUGUCUAGUGGCUGGAAAAUGGAUGGUGCUUCAGAAGUACUUGUUGAUUAAUUAAUUAACAUCUCAUUCAACAUCUCUACUUAUAAUCACCUCUGAGCCAUAAGACAGGAAACAGGCUUCAUCAUUAGUCUUCUAAAAUACAAUUUGUCAUUGCAUUGUUCAAUGUUCUAAAGUCAUGUUUUUUUUUUUAAUAUUAUAGUGGUCAUCAUAGAAAUUGUUCUUUUAGUUUUGCUUAUUUCACUCCAUAUCAGUUCAUACAUGUCUUUACAUGUUUUUCCUUAUUCAUAUUUCACAGAAUUAUAGGUUUAGAACCACAAAGGACUUGUGAGGCCAUUGAUUCUAAGCCCUGACUUUUUAUAGGUGAGGAAACUGAAGUUUAGAAGGGUCAAAUAACUUGCCCAGAGUUACACAAGUUUAAGACAGGAUUUGAAAUGACUCCAAGUUAAACACUGUGUUACCUCCUGCCCCACCUACCUGCCUCAGUUGUGAUUUCUUAUGAACAUAGUAAUGUUAUA